CGUUGGGUGCGGUUGUGUUUUUGUAACGGCAGUCGAUCUUUAAAAGAUGGGAUCUAUGAACACAACCGCACCGAGACGCGUCGCGUUAAGGAAUGAUUCUGCCAGCGACUCCAAUAAGAUACUUUGGCUGUGGUCCUCGAGUUUCGAGACUUCGACUUUCUUAUCGCACGCACACGAAUUGGAGUAAUCGCGAGGCGUCGGCGUCAAGAAUCCGGGGGAUACACGGGGGUGUUCUUGGGAACCAAAGACCGAAGAACGAAGACUUGCCGGGCGUAAGGCCCGCCAGCUACUGCCCACAGAACUUCUGGCUGGCAUUUGUUUUUGUGGUCCGCUCACACACACACCCUCGCAGCAGAAGCACACACACACACACACAGGGGCAAAACUGGAAGACCGAAUGCCACCCCCAAAAUAAAAUAAUAUCAAGGGAGAAACGUCAAGUGUGCGACGUUGGCAGCGCUGCUUUUUUACCCAAGUUACAACGCAGGCGCACUUGUAUUCCCCGCUCUCUAUAGAGAAGCAUUAUGUUCCGAACAACCCCACACAUUUCUCCUUUGCAAGUAAUGAAAAAAAAAAAUGGGAAAACCUGGAGAAGGCACAAAGAGAAACCUUCCAGGGAGUUCGUACCCCUUAGACCCAGUACUCACCACGCUUUCGAAACGUUUUCUGGCCAUUUGUUGAGCGGGCUUUAAAGGCCGUACUAGCCACGUUAUCAGGCAAAUGCCAGCCACGCAUUUUGUCAAAUUCAAAGGCAAACAAGGAGAAAGCUGCCGGGUAAAAGAGAGGUUAAAUCCCGAAAAGGUGGGCGAGUGAAACCGAAGCCUGUGGACUAAGCCCGUUCAACAAUCGCUCCAUAAAAAUGUAUAAGUACGCAUAAAAGAAUUUUCUUUUUCUUACACUUUUCCUCCAGGUUUUCCCCUUUUCCCGCUUUAUGGCUUUGUUGCUAGCUCGUCGAGAAGGACUUCUUACAUAUAUUUUUAUGAGAUAAAAUAGAAAAUUUUGUUAUCAGGCAGCAGCGGCAGAAAAGGAUAUAAAGCAGCGGCACUCACACACACACAGAAAAACACACAUUCUAACACACUCACACACACACACAUGGACACAAAGGCCCCACUUGAAAUGGCAGAAAACCCCCUCCCCCUCACCCAUCCACCAUCAAACCAUCACCAUCAACCGCACUGAGUUGCCAGUGCCAACGGAAAAUGUCUUCGGGUUGAGUGCUUUUCCGGGGAAAAUGUAAUUUUCUCAUGGCAGCCAACAUUCGCCGCUCGUCCUCGACGCUCGCUUUUCCUCAGCCCGCUUUUCCUUCCCGCUUUUCCAGAGCAGAGCGUCGAACGUGGCACGAUUGAAGUGUCGGUUGGGUACCUAGGCGAGAAAGGAAACUUAAAGGAUGCUCACAGCCAGCGCUUUUCCCUCCAAGAGCAGUCCCCCAUCUUGACAGUUUCCUUUUCCUGUUGCCCUUUUUCGCCAGCGCCUUGCAAAUUGCUCACGCUUGCCAAGUGUGUGCGGGCAUUGGUGUGUGUGUGCACUGCGAGUAAAUUUGUAACCCAACUGAAUA
Molecule: long non-coding RNA, 1558 nt
Organism: Drosophila suzukii
Lineage: Eukaryota; Metazoa; Arthropoda; Insecta; Diptera; Drosophilidae
Source: RefSeq, a predicted model, not a curated record